UGAGGAAUAUUGGUCAAUGGGCGCGAGCCUGAACCAGCCAAGUCGCGUGAGGGAUGACGGUCCUACGGAUUGUAAACCUCUUUUGCCGGGGAGCAAGCGUGCGUUCGUGAACGCGCGUCGAGAGUACCCGGAGAAAAAGCAUCGGCUAACUCCGUGCCAGCAGCCGCGGUAAUACGGAGGAUGCGAGCGUUAUCCGGAUUUAUUGGGUUUAAAGGGUGCGUAGGCGGGAUGCCAAGUCAGCGGUAAAAAUGCGGUGCUCAACGCCGUCGAGCCGUUGAAACUGGCGUUCUUGAGUGGGCGAGAAGUAUGCGGAAUGCGUGGUGUAGCGGUGAAAUGCAUAGAUAUCACGCAGAACUCCGAUUGCGAAGGCAGCAUACCGGCGCCCUACUGACGCUGAGGCACGAAAGCGUGGGUAUCGAACAGG
This 424-nucleotide ribosomal RNA is filed under the name uncultured bacterium. Its description in RNAcentral is "bacterial SSU rRNA". It matches the Rfam family "Bacterial small subunit ribosomal RNA", at positions 355 to 776 of the family's 1533-position model. The record is from RNAcentral.